AUGGGACGCGUUUUAUUUCAACGUGCCCCGCUACCAUUUUGUCAGCGCAGAGACACGCGGCGACACUGACACGUGGUGUGCGAGGCUGUUAAUUUCUGUGUUCCAGCAGACUCGUUUAAUCGAGUCUUAAUUCACUCCAUUAAUUGAGUGUGCUUCAAUGCACUGGAUUUUCAGCAUGCCAGAGCAAGCUCCCCGCAUGCGAGUAGGAGCCCACUGGUACCUUCAUACCAAUUUAGUUCUUAACCUUUCUGAGGCUUGCACCAAAACAGUGCAAUGUCUGUGAACGUCCAUUCUUCUAACCAUUUCUCUCUCUCAGUGUAUUUUUUUUUUUUUUUUAUUUACUUUCUUCAUUACCAGAAGAUACCCAAAGCUUAGCCUUACGGUAAGGCAUACAGCACUGGACAUACCACCUCCAUGUUGAACUCUUGCCUUCUGUUUCAAUUCAUGUUGCCACUAGGUUUUACAGAAAACGUGAUUCCUGGGACAACACAAAACAUCAGUGAGAGCUAACAGGUCAGCUCCAAUUUGGGGGGAGGGAGGUUCCUCCUAAUAAAAUCCUUUGGAGGCAGAAUAAUUUCUUAAUUUCUGAAAACGUUUCAUUUGCCCAGAAAUGGAAGUUGGCAGUGCUUUGGUAAAUGGAUUGAAAGGUUGUUUUGUUUCACUGAAGCAACUGUAAAUACUUCUGUGUCUCGUUGAAAUGCUGUCUGUUCGUUUUUCCCCAGUCUUAUGGCCGCAGUCUAUGAAUGACGACUGCUAUUGCUUUGUCUCCUAAAACGUCACUGAAGCAUGGCUGCAAUUUUCUUUUCAUUUUUCCAAGUAGGGGAAAGAGCAGCUCACUCCCAAAUGCUUAAUCAUUAACAACAGGUCGUACACUCAGUGGUCUUAGAAAGGUAAAAAUAGGAAUAAUUUCCUCCUCGUGUUGAACUCAGACUCUGCCAUGUACUCCCAAGGACCCACGUUUAUCCUGGGAGCUGGGCUUAGCAAGACUUCACCGUGUUCCUGUGCAGACUGUGUUCUGAAAGUCUGCUUGAGACUAUUGACUCAUCGACACCACCCCCACAUCCUUUGGUUGUGUUCUCCUGGAGGUCUUAAAGAUCAGUAGGGAUGAUUGUGACGAUCCAGGCUGACUUUGGCAUAACGCAGGCUACAAAACAUCGCCCAGCAAUUUCUGCAUCAAGCCCAUGAUUGUUUGUGCUACAGCAUCCCUUCUGGAAAGACCCUCUGCCUUGCUCUAUAGACUUCAAGUGAUGGAGCAUCCCUCGCGUUCCCGGAAGGCUGUGUCUGCACGAAUGAAAUGUGUGUUCGUCUAAGAGCAAAGAGAUGAAAUGCCUCCACCGGCUGGACUCGGACACAGUGAGCCAGAGCCAAAAAAAAGGACAAAGUCUCCUAUACAAUGAUUUAGGCAGGAGCCCAAAGCUGUGAUCCUCCUUGUUUCACUGCUCCUAAAUAUGGUGGCAACUGCGCUCUACAGGCAGUUUUUGCUGUUCAAGUUUCCCACGUACCUCAACUUCUCAACAGGCCCGAACAAUGCCUUGUGCUGGCAGAUCUUUGCUGCUUGCCUAGCUCAUGACUAAGUCCAACUGGGCUCCAGUUUGCAGACAUUGCCCGAGGGGCUGGAUCUAGGGGAGGUUCUUGGAGCAUGCUGUGGGAUGGGGGUCCGCAAAGUGCAGCAGACGACACCGCUUUCUUUUAAAAUGCAGGUAGAUGGAGGGUGUUCCCCUUGUAUAGCUCCAGCAGGAUUGGUUCAGAUUUACUUUCCCCCAGACUGUCCAGUAGCCUAAAGAUUGCAGCACCCGCCAGCAGUUGUGAGAUAAAAUGCAGAGACUGGGACUUGGGACUCUUCACUCCCAGCUGAGUGCCCCAAGCCCCAAGCCAAAGUGUUGUAGGCUCACUUUUGCUCCCUGUCCACAAUGCAUCUUCGGCUUUUGGGGGCAUAAUGAUACAGAGGGUAUCUUUAACCAGACUCACUUGUACCCUGGUGGGAGCAGCUAAUGGCCUGUUUGUCUUGAGAAAACAGCUACUUCAGGAUAGCUGCAGGCAGACACCACUUGCACCAAUGUAAUAAGUAUAUAAGGGGUGUACAUCAGGAUGUGGGGGAAGAAGGCCUGUUCACCAGAGCGCCCCAUGGGGUGACAAGGUCAAACGGUCACAAACUUCUCCAAGACUGUUUCAGGCUGGACAUAAGGAAGAACUUCUUUACGGUCCAAGUCUAUAAGGCCUGGAACAGACUGCAGCCGGAGGUGGUGCAAGCACCUACUCUGGACUCCUUUAAGAGUAAAUUGGACGUUUAUCUUACUGGGAUCCUUUGACCCCUGCUGACUUCCUGCCCCUGGAGCAGGGGGUUGGACUCAAUGAUCUCCUUCCAGCCCUAAUGUCUAUGAAAUUAUUAAUUUAUAUUAGUAUAGUUCUAGUUCUAAUUUCCCCUUGGGGUAAAUUUACAUUGGAUUCAAGUAAGCUGCAGUGAUAUAGGACUGUACAUGUGUCCACUCCUUGCUUACACUGGUGUGAAGGCUAAUUAUACUGGUGUUUAAUGUGUCUAAGCCUUUUGGUUAAUCAUGCUUUAUCCUCAUCUCCCCCCGCCCCGCAUCACCUCAUCGUGGUUCAUUGUUGGACUAUCAGAAGUGUUUAUGAAUCUA
This is a long non-coding RNA of Alligator mississippiensis (American alligator), 2636 nucleotides long. RefSeq lists it as uncharacterized. NCBI's taxonomy places the organism in Eukaryota, Metazoa, Chordata, Crocodylia, Alligatoridae. The transcript has 3 exons. The record is from RefSeq and is a predicted model, not a curated record.